GACGAGGCACCACGGUGCUGAAGCAACAAAUGCCCUGCUUCCAGGAAAAGCCUCUAAGCCUCAGGUAACAUCAAAUCGUACCCCAAACCGACACAGGUGGUCAGGUAGAGAAUACCAAGGCGCUUGAGAGAACUCGGGUGAAGGAACUAGGCAAAAUGGUGCCGUAACUUCGGGAGAAGGCACGCUGACACGUAGGUGAAGUGGUUUACCCAUGGAGCUGAAGUCAGUCGAAGAUACCAGCUGGCUGCAACUGUUUAUUAAAAACACAGCACUGUGCAAACACGAAAGUGGACGUAUACGGUGUGACGCCUGCCCGGUGCCGGAAGGUUAAUUGAUGGGGUCAGCGCAAGCGAAGCUCCUGAUCGAAGCCCCGGUAAACGGCGGCCGUAACUAUAACGGUCCUAAGGUAGCGAAAUUCCUUGUCGGGUAAGUUCCGACCUGCACGAAUGGCGUAAUGAUGGCCAGGCUGUCUCCACCCGGGACUCAGUGAAAUUGAACUCGCUGUGAAGAUGCAGUGUACCCGCGGCAAGACGGAAAGACCCCGUGAACCUUUACUAUAGCUUGACACUGAACACUGGUCCUUGAUGUGCAGGAUAGGUGGGAGGCUUUGAAGUGUGGACGCCAGUCUGCAUGGAGCCAUCCUUGAAAUACCACCCUUUAAUGGCUGGUGUUCUAACGUGGGCCCGUGAACCGGGUUGCGGACAGUGUCUGGUGGGUAGUUUGACUGGGGCGGUCUCCUCCUAAAGAGUAACGGAGGAGCACGAAGGUUGGCUAAUCCUGGUCGGACAUCAGGAGGUUAGUGCAAUGGCAUAAGCCAGCUUGACUGCGAGCGUGACGGCGCGAGCAGGUGCGAAAGCAGGUCAUAGUGAUCCGGUGGUUCUGAAUGGAAGGGCCAUCGCUCAACGGAUAAAAGGUACUCCGGGGAUAACAGGCUGAUACCGCCCAAGAGUUCAUAUCGACGGCGGUGUUUGGCACCUCGAUGUCGGCUCAUCACAUCCUGGGGCUGAAGUAGGUCCCAAGGGUAUGGCUGUUCGCCAUUUAAAGUGGUACGCGAGCUGGGUUUAGAACGUCGUGAGACAGUUCGGUCCCUAUCUGCCGUGGGCGCUGGAAGAUUGAGGGGGGCUGCUCCUAGUACGAGAGGACCGGAGUGGACGCAUCACUGGUGUUCGGGUUGUCAUGCCAAUGGCACUGCCCGGUAGCUACAUGCGGAAGAGAUAAGUGCUGAAAGCAUCUAAGCACGAAACUUGCCCCGAGAUGAAUCUUCCCUGAGCCUUUAAGGCUCCUGAAGGAACGUUGAAGACGACGACGUUGAUAGGCCGGGUGUGUAAGCGCAGCGAUGCGUUGAGCUAACCGGUACUAAUGAACCGUGAGGCUUAACCUU
Molecule: ribosomal RNA, 1381 nt
Filed under: Salmonella enterica
Lineage: Bacteria; Pseudomonadati; Pseudomonadota; Gammaproteobacteria; Enterobacterales; Enterobacteriaceae
Description: partial 23S ribosomal RNA
Rfam family: Bacterial large subunit ribosomal RNA
Source: RNAcentral